GAUGAACGCUGGCGGCGUGCUUAACACAUGCAAGUCGAACGGAAAGGCGCUGCUUUUGUGGGGUGCUCGAGUGACGAACGGGUAAGUAACACGAGCGUAACCUGCCCUUGACUUUGGGUUAACUUCAGGGAACUGGGGCUCAUACCCGAUAGGAGCUCCUGCUGCAUGGUGGGGGUUGGAUCGCUUCGGCGGAGGGGGAUGGACUCGCGGCUUAUCAGCUUGUUGGUGGGGUAGUGGCUUACCAAGGCCUUGACGGGUAGCCGGCCUGAGAGGGUGACCGGGGACAUUGGGACUACGGGAGGGCGCAGACGCGUACGGUAGGCAGUAGGCGGAAAUAUUGCACAGUAAGGGGAAGCGCGAUGCAGAGACGUCGCGGUCGUGAUGUGGUCCUGCGGGUAGUGAACCGCUUUUGCUUGAGACGAAGCGUUAGUGACGGUAAUGGGAAAAGAAGCACCGGCUAACUACGUG
RNAcentral lists this ribosomal RNA (468 nucleotides) under uncultured bacterium. RNAcentral describes it as "partial 16S ribosomal RNA". It matches the Rfam family "Bacterial small subunit ribosomal RNA", at positions 28 to 507 of the family's 1533-position model. The record is from RNAcentral.